AUGUCAAAGGUCUCUUCAGCUAAGCCAUCUACCUUUCUCUUAGAUCCCAUUCCAACGAGGCUGCUUAAAGAAGCAUUACCCGUGGUUAACACUCCAUUACUAGAUAUGAUCAAUAUGUCGCUAUUAACAGGUUAUGUACUGCAGUUAUUUAAAG
Long non-coding RNA from Etheostoma spectabile (orangethroat darter), 154 nucleotides. RefSeq lists it as uncharacterized. The transcript has 3 exons. NCBI's taxonomy places the organism in Eukaryota, Metazoa, Chordata, Actinopteri, Perciformes, Percidae. The record is from RefSeq and is a predicted model, not a curated record.